UGGUGUGCGUGGAGCGCCGUGGACCCACCCCGUCCCAUCCCGAACCGGGUCGUGAAACAUGGCAGCGCCGAAGGUACUGGCGGUAGGACCGCUGGGAGAGUAGGUCCGCGCACCAU
This 116-nucleotide ribosomal RNA is filed under the name Candidatus Kouleothrix ribensis. Lineage: Bacteria; Bacillati; Chloroflexota; Chloroflexia; Chloroflexales; Roseiflexaceae. The record is from RNAcentral.